AAAAUUGAUACCGUAACUUCGGGAGAAGGUAUGCCCCUGGUACGUGAAGGCCCUUGCGGCCGGAGCGGAACGGGGUCGCAGAGAAUCGGUGGCUGCGACUGUUUAUUAAAAACACAGCACUCUGCAAACACGAAAGUGGACGUAUAGGGUGUGACGCCUGCCCGGUGCCGGAAGGUUAAGUGAUGGGGUGCAAGCUCUUGAUCGAAGCCCCGGUAAACGGCGGCCGUAACAAUAACGGUCCUAAGGUAGCGAAAUUCCUUGUCGGGUAAGUUCCGACCUGCACGAAUGGCGUAACGAUGGCCACACUGUCUCCUCCUGAGACUCAGCGAAGUUGAAAUGUUUGUGAAGAUGCAAUCUCCCCGCGGCUAGACGGAAAGACCCCAUGAACCUUUACUGUAGCUUUGCAUUGGACUUUGACGGGACUUGUGUAGGAUAGGUGGGAGGCUUUGAAGCCGGGACGCUAGUUCCGGUGGAGCCAUCCUUGAAAUACCACCCUGGUGUCGUCGAGGUUCUAACCCAGGCCUGUGAAUCCAGGUCGGGGACCGUGCAUGGUGGGCAGUUUGACUGGGGCGGUCUCCUCCCAAAAGGUAACGGAGGAGUACGAAGGUCACCUAGGUACGGUCGGACAUCGUACUGAUAGUGCAAUGGCAAAAGGUGGCUUGACUGCGAGACCCACAAGUCGAGCAGGUGCGAAAGCAGGUCAUAGUGAUCCGGUGGUUCUGUAUGGAAGGGCCAUCGCUCAACGGAUAAAAGGUACUCUGGGGAUAACAGGCUGAUUCCGCCCAAGAGUUCACAUCGACGGCGGAGUUUGGCACCUCGAUGUCGGCUCAUCACAUCCUGGGGCUGUAGCCGGUCCCAAGGGUAUGGCUGUUCGCCAUUUAGAGUGGUACGUGAGCUGGGUUUAAAACGUCGUGAGACAGUUUGGUCCCUAUCUGCCGUGGGCGCUGGAAGUUUGAGAGGGCCUGCUCCUAGUACGAGAGGACCGGAGUGGACGCACCCCUGGUGUACCGGUUGUGACGCCAGUCGCAUCGCCGGGUAGCUAUGUGCGGAAGAGAUAACCGCUGAAAGCAUCUAAGCGGGAAACUCGCCUCAAGAUGAGACUUCCCCGGGGCCUCGAGCCCCCUGAAGGGUCGUUGAAGACCACAACGUUGAUAGGUCGGGUGUGUAAGCGUGGCAACACGUUCAGCUAACCGAUACUAAUUGCCCGUGUGGCUUGAUC
RNAcentral lists this ribosomal RNA (1219 nucleotides) under metagenome. RNAcentral's name for it is "bacterial LSU rRNA". It matches the Rfam family "Bacterial large subunit ribosomal RNA", at positions 1718 to 2925 of the family's 2925-position model. The record is from RNAcentral.